Molecule: ribosomal RNA, 376 nt
Filed under: uncultured bacterium
Lineage: Bacteria
Description: bacterial SSU rRNA
Rfam family: Bacterial small subunit ribosomal RNA
Source: RNAcentral
UACGUAGGGGGCGAGCGUUGUCCGGAAUUACUGGGCGUAAAGGGCGUGUAGGCGGCCUGAUAAGUCAGAUGUGAAAUCCCAAGGCUUAACCGUGGGUUUGCAUUUGAAACUGUUGGGCUUGAGGGCAGGAGAGGGAAGCGGAAUUCCCAGUGUAGCGGUGAAAUGCGUAGAUAUUGGGAGGAACACCAGUGGCGAAGGCGGCUUCCUGGACUGCACCUGACGCUGAGGCGCGAAAGCUAGGGUAGCGAACGGGAUUAGAUACCCCGGUAGUCCUAGCCGUAAACGAUGGGUACUAGGUGUGGGAGGUAUCGACCCCUUCCGUGCCGCAGUUAACGCAAUAAGUACCCCGCCUGGGGAGUACGGCCGCAAGGUUGAA